This 986-nucleotide long non-coding RNA is filed under the name Rattus norvegicus (Norway rat). RNAcentral's name for it is "long non-coding RNA NONRATT021199". Lineage: Eukaryota; Metazoa; Chordata; Mammalia; Rodentia; Muridae. The record is from RNAcentral.
GGUCCAAUCCAGUCUUCAGGACCAACAAUCCAGGAUUAUCUGAAUCGACCAAGGCCUACCUGGGAGGAAGUGAAGGAGCAGCUGGAAAAGAAAAAGAAGGGCUCCAAGGCUUUGGCUGAGUUUGAAGAGAAAAUGAAUGAGAAUUGGAAGAAAGAACUAGAAAAACAUAGAGAAAAACUAUUAAGUGGAAAUGAGAGCUCAUCCAAAAAGCGACAGAAAAAGAAAAAAGAAAAGAAGAAAUCUGGUAGGGUGAGCAAAAGUUUUCUAUUGUCUAAAUGUUACAGCUAGGGCCUAUGAGACAGUAAGAACGAUUGAUUUCCCUGUGCGCUAAAACUGACUUAGACUGCAGAUGCGUCAGGCAGCCCACAGGUCCUUUGGCUGGGAUGGGUGACAUGAAAGAAGUGUUAGUGUCCUCUACCCUAGGAGUGUCUCUGCCGCUACUGCUGCUGCUGCCGCCGCCGCUGCCGCCGCCGCUGCUGCUGCUGCAGAGGACAGUGCUGCUCAUUGCUGCACAUGUUGUUGCUUUGUUGAGCUUUUGUGGGAGGGAAAUGGCUUUGAUAUUUUAGUUUCUAAAUCCUGUGAAUAUGGCAUCUGUUUCUUAGACACUAGAUUGAUUUCACUAAGUGCUUGAGAGACUUAGUAAAAGAAACCAAUUCCUGCAUCUCACAAGCUUUAAUUGUUUUGUGCUUGGUCAAGUAUUCAUCUUCUUCUUCAUCGAGCUCUGAUUCUUCCAGCAGUUCUUCAGAUUCUGAGGAGGAGGAUAAAAAGCAAACAAAAAGAAGGAAGAAAAAGAAGAGCCAUUGCCAUAAGUCUCCGGAGACCUCCGUGUCGGAUUCAGACUCAGACAGCAAGGACACUAAAGGACUCAGCAAAAAGAGAAAGAUGUAUGAGGAUAAACCUUUGUCAUCUGAGUCAUUGUCAGAGUCAGACUGUGGAGAGGUGCAAGCGAAAAAGAAGAAAAGCGGUGAAGAGCGAGAGAGAACAAC